Molecule: ribosomal RNA, 1343 nt
Filed under: uncultured bacterium
Lineage: Bacteria
Description: bacterial SSU rRNA
Rfam family: Bacterial small subunit ribosomal RNA
Source: RNAcentral
GAUGAACGCUGGCGGCGUGCUUAACACAUGCAAGUCGAACGGUGAAGCCAAGCUUGCUUGGUGGAUCAGUGGCGAACGGGUGAGUAACACGUGAGCAACCUGCCUUGGACUCUGGGAUAAGCGCUGGAAACGGCGUCUAAUACUGGAUAUGAGCUCUCAUCGCAUGGUGGGGGUUGGAAAGAUUUUUCGGUCUGGGAUGGGCUCGCGGCCUAUCAGCUUGUUGGUGAGGUAAUGGCUCACCAAGGCGUCGACGGGUAGCCGGCCUGAGAGGGUGACCGGCCACACUGGGACUGAGACACGGCCCACACUCCUACGGGAGGCAGCAGUGGGGAAUAUUGCACAAUGGGCGGAAGCCUGAUGCAGCAACGCCGCGUGAGGGAUGACGGCCUUCGGGUUGUAAACCUCUUUUAGCAGGGAAGAAGCGAGAGUGACGGUACCUGCAGAAAAAGCGCCGGCUAACUACGUGCCAGCAGCCGCGGUAAUACGUACGGCGCAAGCCGUUAUCCGGAAUUAUUGGGCGUAAAGAGCUCUAGGCGGUUUGUCGCGUCUGCUGUGAAUCCCGAGGCUCAACCUCGGGGGCCUGCAGUGGGUACGGGCAGACUAGAGUGCGGUAGGGGAGAUUGGAAUUCCUGGUGUAGCGGUGGAAUGCGCAGAUAUCAGGAGGAACACCGAUGGCGAAGGCAGAUCUCUGGGCCGUAACUGACGCUGAGGAGCGAAAGGGUGGGGAGCAAACAGGCUUAGAUACCCUGGUAGUCCACCCCGUAAACGUUGGGAACUAGUUGUGGGGACCAUUCCACGGUUUCCGUGACGCAGCUAACGCAUUAAGUUCCCCGCCUGGGGAGUACGGCCGCAAGGCUAAAACUCAAAGGAAUUGACGGGGACCCGCACAAGCGGCGGAGCAUGCGGAUUAAUUCGAUGCAACGCGAAGAACCUUACCAAGGCUUGACAUACACCAGAACACCGUAGAAAUACGGGACUCUUUGGACACUGGUGAACAGGUGGUGCAUGGUUGUCGUCAGCUCGUGUCGUGAGAUGUUGGGUUAAGUCCCGCAACGAGCGCAACCCUCGUUCUAUGUUGCCAGCACGUAAUGGUGGGAACUCAUGGGAUACUGCCGGGGUCAACUCGGAGGAAGGUGGGGAUGACGUCAAAUCAUCAUGCCCCUUAUGUCUUGGGCUUCACGCAUGCUACAAUGGCCGGUACAAAGGGCUGCAAUACCGUGAGGUGGAGCGAAUCCCAAAAAGCCGGUCCCAGUUCGGAUUGAGGUCUGCAACUCGACCUCAUGAAGUCGGAGUCGCUAGUAAUCGCAGAUCAGCAACGCUGCGGUGAAUACGUUCCCGGGUCU